UUUUUUCCUGUAGCAAUACAGGGAAAAGUCUAGCGGCGAACGGGUGCUUAACACGUGGGCAACCUGCCAAGAAGUGGGGGAUAGCUCGUCGAAAGGCGAAUUAAUACCGCAUGUGAUCAGAGUGGACAUCCAUUCGAAAUCAAAGUCGGGGCAACCUGACGCUUCUUGAGGGGCCCGCGGCCUAUCAGCUAGUUGGUGAGGUAACGGCCCACCAAGGCUUAGACGGGUAGCUGGUCUGAGAGGACGACCAGCCACACUGGGACUGAGACACGGCCCAGACACCUACGGGUGGCAGCAGUCGAGAAUUUUUCUCAAUGGGGGAAACCCUGAAGGAGCGACGCCGCGUGGAGGAUGAAGGUCUUCGGAUUGUAAACUCCUGUCAUUGGGGAACAAUGCGUAAAUAUUAACUGUAUUUGCGUUGAUAGUACCCGAAGAGGAAGGGACGGCUAACUCUGUGCCAGCAGCCGCGGUAAUACAGAGGUCCCAAGCGUUGUUCGGAUUCAUUGGGCGUAAAGGGUGCGUAGGCGGCGCGGUAAGUCGGGUGUGAAAUCUCGGAGCUUAACUCCGAAACUGCAUUCGAUACUGCCGUGCUUGAGGACUGGAGAGGAGACUGGAAUUUACGGUGUAGCGGUGAAAUGCGUANAUAUCGUAAGGAAGACCAGUGGCGAAGGCGGGUCUCUGGACAGUUCCUGACGCUGAGGCACGAAGGCCAGGGGAGCAAACGGGAUUAGAUACCCCGGUAGUCCUGGCAGUAAACGGUGCACGUUUGGGUGU
RNAcentral lists this ribosomal RNA (774 nucleotides) under uncultured Verrucomicrobiota bacterium. RNAcentral's name for it is "bacterial SSU rRNA". It matches the Rfam family "Bacterial small subunit ribosomal RNA", at positions 67 to 824 of the family's 1533-position model. Lineage: Bacteria; Pseudomonadati; Verrucomicrobiota. The record is from RNAcentral.